Molecule: small RNA, 3220 nt
Filed under: Pongo abelii (Sumatran orangutan)
Lineage: Eukaryota; Metazoa; Chordata; Mammalia; Primates; Hominidae
Description: retained intron
Source: RNAcentral
AAAAAGCCAGGCCCGGUGGCUCACUCGUGUAAUCCCAGCACUUUGGGAGGCCAAGAUGGGUAGAUCACUUGAGGUCAGAAGUUCAUAACCAGCCUGGCCAACAUGGUGAAGCCCCAUCUCUACUAAAAAUAGGAGAAUUGGCCAGGUGUGUUGCCACACGCCUGUAUUAGCUGGCGUGGCGAAGUGAGCCUGUAAUCCCAGUCACAUGGGAGGCUGAGGCAGGAGAACUGCUUGAACCCGGAAGGCGGAGGUUGCAGUGCGCCAAGAUGGCAUCAUUGCACUCCAGCCUGGCCACAGAACAAAACCCUGUCUCUAAAAACAAAGUCAAGGGUGCGUUAAGCAGCUCCGUCAUGUCCUCACGUGACACCAUCUCACCAACACGGCAACACCACCUGCGACAUUCACCGUCACACUGACCAGGCUACCAGCAGGUGCUGCAGUCACAGCACUGGGCGCCGGCACCACGGCAGAGCAAGUGCCCACUGAGUGCCAGGCACCCACUGUGUGCUGGGUGGGUGGGGGACGGAGGAUGCAGCCAUGUGCGACGUGGUGCGUCACCAUAGCAGGCCGAAGCCUGCGCACGAAAGAGUGAGGCUUUAAAUGAGAGAAUAAUCUGUCAACGUGAAACUCUCAGGGUUUUAUUCCGAAUAAAGGUUUUUGCAAAAUGGAGUUGGGUUCACUUUCUGGGUCUUUUUUUUUUUUUUUUUUUUUUUUUUUUUUUGAGACAGUCUCACUCUCCAGUGCGCUGCUCAAGUGCAGUGGCGCGAUCUUGACUCACCGUAAGCUUCACCUCCUGGGUUCACACCAUUCUCCUGCCUCAGCCUCCUGAGUAGCUGGGACUACAGCGUCUGUCACCAUGCCUGUCUAAUUUUUUUUUGUAUUUUUAGUAGAGACACGGUUUCACCGUGUUAGCCAAGAUGGUUUCAAUCUCCUGACCCUCAUGAUCUGCCCACCUCGGCCUCCCAAAGUGCUGGGAUUACAGGCGUGAGUCACCGUGCUCCGCCACAGCCGGCUAAUUUUUUCAUGUUUUUAGUAGAGACGAGGUUUUUCCAGGUUGGUUAGGCUGGUCUUGAACUCUCAACCUCUGGUGAUACACCGGCCUUGGCCUCCCAAAGUGCUGGAAUUACAGACCCGGCCAGCCUAAACGAGUUUUAAAAUGAGUUAGAGAUUUUGGGUUAGUCUUGUUUUCCAGGAAUAAAGUACCAUUUUCAGUGGCCAAGAAUGUACCAGAGGGUGUGGCCCUGUGACAUAUCCGGCUGGGUCUGCCCAGGGCCCUGCUCAGCGACCGGGGCUUUGUAGGAUUUAUGCUGCCAGUUGCAGAGAAAAUGGCCCUGAGUGAGGGCGCUAUGACUGCCCCACCUGCCUCCUGUAACCACGUGGCUGUGGGAUUCGGGGCCGAGAAUUCGGGUUCCUGUGGGGCCAGCGCACGGCCCUGUGCUUCUCCCUCGGGCGGAGAGAGGGUGGGGGCAGCCCCGUGCAUCUCCACUCUAGGAGGGAGGGAGGGUGGGGGCUGGUGCGCCAGUGCGGUGUCUCUGCUGCAGGUGGCUGGGCUGACGCUGCUGGCUGUCGGGGUCUACUCAGCCAAGAAUGCCACGCUUGUCGCCGGUCGCUUCAUCGAAGCUCGGCUGGGGAAGCCGUCCCUGGUGAGGGAGACGUCCCGCAUCACGGUGCUGGAGGCGCUGCGGCACCCCAUCCAGGUCAGCCGGCGGCUCCUCAGUCGGCCCCAGGACGCGCUGGAGGGUGUUGUGCUCAGUCCCAGCCUGGAAGCACGGGUGCGCGACAUCGCCAUAGCAACAAGGAACACCAAGAAGAACCGGGGCCUGUACGGGAAUGUCCUGCUGUACGGGCCACCAGGCACCGGGAAGACGCUGUUUGCCAAGAAACUCGCCCUGCACUCAGGCAUGGACUACGCCAUCAUGACAGGCGGGGACGUGGCCCCCAUGGGGCGGGAAGGCGUGACCGCCAUGCACAAGCUCUUUGACUGGGCCAAUACCAGCCGGCGCGGCCUCCUGCUCUUCAUGGAUGAAGCGGACGCCUUCCUUCAGAAGCGAGGCACUGAGAAGAUAAGCGAGGACCUCAGGGCCACACUGAACGCCUUCCUGUACCGCACGGGCCAGCACAGCAACAACCCCAGUCACAUGUCACACGGAGGAUCAAGUCCUGCCGGUUGGCCGUGGGUGACUCUUCAGGCACGUUGGGCUCGCUGGCUCAGCUGCUGCCGGUUGAUGCUCCCUGGAGCCCUGACUCAGAUUCAUGCUGGUCCUGGCCAGCAAUCUGCCUGAGCAGUUCGACUGCGCCAUCAACAGCCGCGUCGACGUGAUGGUCCACUUCGACCUGCCGCAGCGGGAGGAGCGGGAGCGCCUGGUGAGAAUGUAUUUUGACAACUACGUUCUUAAGCCGGCCACAGAGGGAAAACGGCGCCUGAAGCUGGCCCAGUUUGACUUCGGGAGGAAGUGCUCGGAGGUCGCUCGGCUGACGGAGGGCAUGUCGGGACGGGAGAUCGCUCAGCUGGCCGUGUCCUGGCAGGCCACGGCGUAUGCCUCCAAGGACAGGAUCCUCACAGCCCAUGAUGGACGCCUGUGUGCAAGAUGCUGUCGGCAAGUACGACAGAGAUGCGCUGGCUGAAGCAGAGGGCCUGGGCGCGGGGGUUGGAGCGCCCCCUAUCCCGAGUCCAAGGCGAGGCCGGCACCUCAUGGAGCCUGGCAGCGGACCCCUCCUGCCCCUGCACGUUUAGGAUAUGCUCCUCGGUGGGGACUGGGCUGUACUCGGGGCCUCUGCACCAGGAUGUCUUGUGGUGGGGGUCAGCCGUUCUGCCCCCCAGGACACCCCCUGUUGUAGGCACUGGCUAGGAAGGGGCAGGCCUCGUUCCCGCCCCUCGAGACACUCUUGGGAGAUGCAUUUUCCCUCGCUCAGAGGCGGAGGGUGAGGCUUUGCACCCCAGCCCCUGCCCAGGCCACUGGGAGGGUGGGUGCUGGCUGAGCCCCUGGGGCAGAAGGAGUGGGGCGGGCGGGGUCUUUGUCCUCGGCUCCCACAGCAGAGCCAGGUGAGGGGGGCCUGCCAGGACUAGACAGAGGUGGGGCAGCCUGAACCCUGCUUCCAGCCAUUGCCAGAGGGCAGGGAACCUGGCAGGGGUGUCUGAGGCCACACUGUCAGCUGGCCGGUCCAAGCCUGUGGUUGGAGCUGGUGUCUGUUUAUCUAAUAAAGUCCCACAGGUGCCUCA